Molecule: long non-coding RNA, 889 nt
Filed under: Equus caballus (horse)
Lineage: Eukaryota; Metazoa; Chordata; Mammalia; Perissodactyla; Equidae
Description: lncRNA (ENSECAG00000041600.2)
Source: RNAcentral
UAAAUGAACAGCGUAGUACAAAACUAUUACACAUCUCUUCUUGGAAAUAAGUGCAAACCUGUUUAAGAGAUUUCAUCUUGGAUAUAAAAUAGAAUAAUAUACGACAAAAGAAGCCUAGCAAACUGGCACUAAGGGGUAAGGUAACUUGCUUAUGAUGACUUGGUUCCUAGGUGCCACCUAAAAUCUGCCUCCCAGGUGUGUGCUCCCCUUCUUAUGCUGCCUCCCACAGGAACGUCAUUUGUUCAGCACCCACUUAGUGAGCACCCGCCCACACAGCAGUUCCGAUGUGUUCUUGAAAAUCUGGACCAAAGAACAAAGCCAAAGAAAACGAGAUGAAAACCACCGAGUGUUCGAUUACCCAAAGCGAAGCCACAUUGACGUCUUGGCUUAUUGGCCUGUUUCCGUAUGAGAUACUAAAUUCUCACGCACUCAUGUAUAGAAUGUGACAGUUUGCUUUCUCAGGUACCAUGCCCAUCAAUUUUUACACAAUUCCAGUUUUAGUAAACAUUUUUCUAACGACACGAGGUCCCUUUCCUUUGUUACUGGAUGUCUAGGUCGUUUCAGCUUGCGCUGUUGUGUAUGACUGUGAGGAGGCAAUAUCUAGAAUAGCACGCAGAACAUGACUUUCAAGUCAGAUAGGCCUGGGUUCGCCACUUGCUCUGCAACUUCAAAUAACUUAUUUAACCUUUCUGAGCCUCAUUUUACACAUCAGUAACAUGAGGAUAAUAGUUCUCUUCACGUAGGGUUAUUAUGAGAAUUAAAUAAAAUAGUGAAACUGCUGGAACGUGCUAGCUAUUUCUGUAGGCAAGUUUUGUUUUAGUUUCUUUUGUUCUAAUUUUUUUGUGGCACACAUGGUUUACUUCCAGAUUUUGUAUAAAUACUGUCACCA